CCUACGGGUGGCAGCAGUGGGGAAUAUUGCACAAUGGGGGAAACCCUGAUGCAGCAACGCCGCGUGGGUGAAGGAGCGUUUCGGCGCGUAAAGCCCUGUCAGCGGGGAAGAAGAAAGACGGUACCCGACCAAGAAGCCCCGGCGAACUAAGUGCCAGCAGCCGCGUUAAUAGGGAGGGGGCGAGCGUUAUCCGGAAGUCCUGGGGGUAAAGGGAGCGUAAACGGCGAGGUAAGGCUGAAGUGGAAGCCCGGGGCCCAAACGGGGGACUGCUGUUGAAACGGUUUUGCUGGAGUAUGGGAGAGGUAAGCGGAAUGCGUGGUGUAGCGGUGAAAUGCGUAGAUAUCAGGAGGAACACCGGUGGCGAAGGCGGCUUACUGGACCAUAACUGACGUUGAGGCUCGAAAGCGUGGGGAGCGAACAGGAUUAGAUACCCCGGUAGUC
This 441-nucleotide ribosomal RNA is filed under the name uncultured bacterium. Its description in RNAcentral is "partial 16S ribosomal RNA". It matches the Rfam family "Bacterial small subunit ribosomal RNA", at positions 338 to 795 of the family's 1533-position model. The record is from RNAcentral.